Dentipellis sp. KUC8613 is the source of this 103-nucleotide non-coding RNA. Lineage: Eukaryota; Fungi; Basidiomycota; Agaricomycetes; Russulales; Hericiaceae. The record is from the annotation of a GenBank genome assembly.
GUCUGGUUGGCUCAGCUGGUUAGAGCGCAGGUCUCAUAUCUCUAUGAGUCAGGUAUUUCCUGAUGCAAUCCUGAGGUCGUGAGUUCGAUCCUCACACCGGACA